This 301-nucleotide ribosomal RNA is filed under the name uncultured bacterium. Its description in RNAcentral is "partial 16S ribosomal RNA". It matches the Rfam family "Bacterial small subunit ribosomal RNA", at positions 509 to 807 of the family's 1533-position model. The record is from RNAcentral.
CAGCAGCCACGGGAAUACGUAGGGCGCAAGCGUUAUCCGGAAUUAUUGGGCGUAAAGAGCUCGUAGGCGGUUUGUCGCGUCUGCCGUGAAAGUCCGGGGCUCAACCCCGGAUCUGCGGUGGGUACGGGCAGACUAGAGUGAUGUAGGGGAGACUGGAAUUCCUGGUGUAGCGGUGAAAUGCGCAGAUAUCAGGAGGAACACCGAUGGCGAAGGCAGGUCUCUGGGCAUUAACUGACGCUGAGGAGCGAAAGCAUGGGGAGCGAACAGGAUUAGAGACCCCUGUAGUCCCUGUCUCUUAUAC